GGCCAGAUAGCUCAGUCGGUAGAGCAGCGGACUGAAAAUCCGCGUGUCCCUGGUUCGAUUCCUGGUCUGGCCA
This 73-nucleotide transfer RNA is filed under the name Spirochaetes bacterium GWF1_41_5. RNAcentral describes it as "tRNA-Phe". It matches the Rfam family "tRNA". From Rfam's summary of the family: Transfer RNA (tRNA) molecules are approximately 80 nucleotides in length. Their secondary structure includes four short double-helical elements and three loops (D, anti-codon, and T loops). Lineage: Bacteria; Pseudomonadati; Spirochaetota. The record is from RNAcentral.